RNAcentral lists this long non-coding RNA (421 nucleotides) under Mytilus galloprovincialis (Mediterranean mussel). Lineage: Eukaryota; Metazoa; Mollusca; Bivalvia; Mytilida; Mytilidae. The record is from RNAcentral.
AUAUUUGUAUUUGUUACUUGAUAUUUUAAAAUGUGUUAAAAUUGUUAUAAUUUGGUGCAAAUGCAUGAUUUAGAAAUAUUUUGUGUAUACUAGUUAGAACAUAAUCAUAUUCUUAACUAAAAUUAAACUCCUGUCUUAUUAGCUUUUACAUUACAAAGUUAAAGUUUAUUGAUACUGUGGAUAUAUAUUAUCAUUUGUUGGGUACCAAUUUUUAGUGGAUGACAUGUGUAACCACUUUAAAAUUUCUUAUAGGAUUACAUUUGUGUAAGCUAACUUUGGCAAAACCACGAAAUCAUGUAUCUACAGAAAUAUAUUUUUUCUUAAAUCCAUGAAAAUGAAUUCAUCAAAAGUAUGACUUCUACAAUAUAAAUAUAAGGACAUUUUUAUAAUAGAUAACAAUUAUUUAAACUAGUGCUGUAAU